AUGUCUCCGAUUAUUUUUGAUGUCGUCCUCACCAUCCUUCUUCUUAGACUCAUCACCGCUAUAUACUGCCAACCAUCACCUUCAUCGCGAUUUCCAAUUGAUCACGAACCUCCACCUCCGAUCUCCCGUUCCCGAUUCACUCCAUUCCUCAAUCACACUCAUCUUCUCGAACUCGAAAUGAACUAUAAAGCACCACACGUCUACGGAAAGGGAGAUUGA
Vicia faba (fava bean) is the source of this 219-nucleotide non-coding RNA. Lineage: Eukaryota; Viridiplantae; Streptophyta; Magnoliopsida; Fabales; Fabaceae. The record is from the annotation of a GenBank genome assembly.